UAGAGUUUGAUCAUGGCUCAGAUUGAACGCUGGCGGCAGGCCUAACACAUGCAAGUCGAGCGGUAACAGAGAUAGCUUGCUAUCUGCUGACGAGCGGCGGACGGGUGAGUAACGCGUAGGAAUCUACCUAGUAGUGGGGGAUAAGCCAGAGAAAUUUGGUCUAAUACCGCAUACGCCCUACGGGGGAAAGGAGGGGAUCUUCGGACCUUUCGCUAUUAGAUGAGCCUGCGUAAGAUUAGCUAGUUGGUGAGGUAAGAGCUCACCAAGGCGACGAUCUUUAGCUGGUCUGAGAGGAUGAUCAGCCACACUGGGACUGAGACACGGCCCAGACUCCUACGGGAGGCAGCAGUGGGGAAUAUUGGACAAUGGGGGCAACCCUGAUCCAGCCAUGCCGCGUGUGUGAAGAAGGCCUUCGGGUUGUAAAGCACUUUCAGAGGUGAGGAAAGGUGAGUAGUUAAUACCUGCUUACUGUGACGUUAACCUCAGAAGAAGGACCGGCUAACUCCGUGCCAGCAGCCGCGGUAAUACGGAGGGUCCGAGCGUUAAUCGGAAUUACUGGGCGUAAAGCGCGCGUAGGUGGUUUCGUCAGUCAGAUGUGAAAGCC
RNAcentral lists this ribosomal RNA (604 nucleotides) under uncultured bacterium. Its description in RNAcentral is "bacterial SSU rRNA". It matches the Rfam family "Bacterial small subunit ribosomal RNA", at positions 1 to 602 of the family's 1533-position model. The record is from RNAcentral.